RNAcentral lists this ribosomal RNA (253 nucleotides) under uncultured bacterium. RNAcentral describes it as "partial 16S ribosomal RNA". It matches the Rfam family "Bacterial small subunit ribosomal RNA", at positions 524 to 776 of the family's 1533-position model. The record is from RNAcentral.
UACGUAGGGUGCGAGCGUUGUCCGGAUUUAUUGGGCGUAAAGAGCUCGUAGGCGGCUUUGCAAGUCGGGUGUGAAAUCCCCAGGCUUAACCUGGGAACUGCAUUCGAGACUGCAUUGCUAGAGUAUGGGAGAGGGAAGUGGAAUUUCCGGUGUAGCGGUGAAAUGCGUAGAUAUCGGAAGGAACAUCAGUGGCGAAAGCGACUUCCUGGACCAAUACUGACGCUCAUGUGCGAAAGCGUGGGGAGCAAACAGG